Molecule: long non-coding RNA, 647 nt
Filed under: Arachis ipaensis
Lineage: Eukaryota; Viridiplantae; Streptophyta; Magnoliopsida; Fabales; Fabaceae
Description: long non-coding RNA (AIPA_LNC002544)
Source: RNAcentral
AAAUAUUUUGUUUGUGACUCCAACCUAGUUUUUAUUUUUUAAUUCAAAAAAACUAGGAAACAUGGUGAAGAUUACAACUAAGAUAUCAUUUGUAAUGAUCUUUCUCGCUUUAGUAGCCACCAAUGGUAUUUUCUUUUUAAUCUUAUAUGCAUCCGUUCUUUUUUUUAUAUAUAUCUAAACAAUUAUAUUACUAGAUACGUACUAAUCUUGUUUAUAUUUAAUUUGUGUUUGUGAAACAUUUUAAAUUUCUACCAUGAUGCUGCAAAUAUAAUUAUAUAUUAUGACUAUCUUUUUUAUUUUUCAUUUUUAAAUAUUUUUUCUUUUGUAGGAUUUGGUCUGCCCAAAACACCAACAAAUGUGGUGCCUCAACAGGAUUGCCCUGGUGGUUGCAAUUUUCUAAUAAAUGUUUGUUUUCCACUAUUUCCUGCGUGUAUUAAUGGCAAGUGUACAUGUGCAAAGUUAGACAAUAAUAAUGCAAGCACAAAACAAGAACGCCACUAUGUCAAAGAUGGUGAAAAAGGAAACUAGUAGCUGAGUGCAUACCAUUAGAAAUAAUGUAGUUUACCUACAUUUUAAUAAUAAAAAUCUUGGAGUUUAAUAAUUUAUUAUUACUCAUGAAUGUAAAAUUUGUGUCGUCUUGUGUACUU